This 271-nucleotide ribosomal RNA is filed under the name uncultured bacterium. RNAcentral's name for it is "partial 16S ribosomal RNA". It matches the Rfam family "Bacterial small subunit ribosomal RNA", at positions 82 to 354 of the family's 1533-position model. The record is from RNAcentral.
UGUUGGUAUCUUAGUGGCGGACGGGUGAGUAACGCGUGGGUAACCUGCCUUACACUGGGGGAUAACACUUAGAAAUAGGUGCUAAUACCGCAUAACAGGGAAAGAUGCAUGUCUUUUCCUUAAAAACUCCGGUGGUGUAAGAUGGACCCGCGUCUGAUUAGCUUGUUGGCGGGGUAACGGCCCACCAAGGCGACGAUCAGUAGCCGGCCUGAGAGGGUGAACGGCCACAUUGGGACUGAGACACGGCCCAAACUCCUACGGAAGGCAGCAG